This 72-nucleotide transfer RNA is filed under the name Anolis carolinensis (green anole). It matches the Rfam family "tRNA". Rfam says of the family: Transfer RNA (tRNA) molecules are approximately 80 nucleotides in length. Their secondary structure includes four short double-helical elements and three loops (D, anti-codon, and T loops). Lineage: Eukaryota; Metazoa; Chordata; Lepidosauria; Squamata; Anolidae. The record is from Rfam by way of RNAcentral.
AGCUAUAUGUUUAGUAGGUUAAGCAUCAGACUUGGGUCCUGGGAAAUUAGGGUUCAAAUCCCAGUUUAGCCA